GUAACAAGGUUUCCGUAGGUGAACCUGCGGAAGGAUCAUUAUCGAAUAAACUUGAACAGGUUGUUGCUGGCCCUCUGGGCAUGUGCACGCUUGUCCAUCUUUAUCAUUUCUCCAACUUGUGCACUUAUUGUAGACCAUUAGAUUUGGGGACUGCUGUGCUUUUUAUCAGUCGGCUUUCCCUUUCUUUUAUACCAUUCAAGGUCUAUAUGAUUUUCACAAUCUCAUAAAUGUCGAAUGUACGUUAAAAACGAAAGAAAUAUAUACAACUUUCAGCAACGGAUCUCUUGGCUCUCGCAUCGAUGAAGAACGCAGCGAAAUGCGAUAAGUAAUGUGAAUUGCAGAAUUCAGUGAAUCAUCGAAUCUUUGAACGCAUCUUGCGCUCCUUGGUAUUCCAAGGAGCAUGCCUGUUUGAGUGUCAUUAAGUUCUCAACCACAUAUUUUUUGUGGCUUGGAUUGUGGGGUGUUGCCGGCUUUUAUACAAGUCGGCUCUCCUUAAAUGCAUAAGUGGUAUUUAGAAAAGCUACGUGUGGGUGUUAUAAAUUUAUAAUACACCUUUUUGGUGAUCUACUGUACUGCUUCCAACCCUGUUUUUGUUUGACAAUUUUGACCUCAAAUCAGGUAGGACUACCCGCUGAACUUAAGCAUAUCAAUAAGCGGAGGAAAAGAAACUAACAAGGAUUCCCUCAGUAACUGCGAGUGAAGUGGGAAAAGCUCAAAUUUGAAAUCUGGCAGGUUCUACA
This 740-nucleotide ribosomal RNA is filed under the name uncultured Inocybe. RNAcentral describes it as "eukaryotic LSU rRNA". The stretch from base 265 to 418 matches the Rfam family "5.8S ribosomal RNA". Lineage: Eukaryota; Fungi; Basidiomycota; Agaricomycetes; Agaricales; Cortinariaceae. The record is from RNAcentral.